UGGAUUCCUCCAUGUGCAGAGGGCUCUAUGUGGAUGGGUAUUUUUGGACCUUGAGUUGACUUAUGUAAUUCUUUGAGCAGAACAACCAAAUCUGUUAUUUGAUUGCUUAAUCCUUCGAGCUCCUCACGAGAGAUAGGAGUAGGAUUAGGCUGGCUAGAUGUGGCCAUGUUUGGCUGAAGGCUUAGUUCCUUCUUCGAACGGGUAACGAGACCAAUUGUUUCC
RNAcentral lists this long non-coding RNA (222 nucleotides) under Panax ginseng (ginseng). RNAcentral describes it as "long non-coding RNA (PGIN_LNC001440)". Lineage: Eukaryota; Viridiplantae; Streptophyta; Magnoliopsida; Apiales; Araliaceae. The record is from RNAcentral.